This is a long non-coding RNA of Liolophura sinensis, 553 nucleotides long. RefSeq lists it as uncharacterized. The record is from RefSeq and is a predicted model, not a curated record. The transcript has 3 exons. NCBI's taxonomy places the organism in Eukaryota, Metazoa, Mollusca, Polyplacophora, Chitonida, Chitonidae.
AUAUGAGAGAAAAAAGGAGCGAGAAUUUAAGCAGAUGAAUUACUGCGGUGAAUCGAUUCAGCGACAGUACCAUUCAAGGGAAUCACCUGUUAGUCAUGCCACUCACCACGAGGACAUGGCCAGGGACGGUCAGUCAGGGGGACUGGAUUUACUCCAAAUCGAGCAGGAACUACGACAGAACAAUGAUGAGCGAAGUGAAGACAUUUUACCGGGUUUAGGAAAAAGAAAGCGCAGGCCAGGUUGGAGUGGUGAAGAAGAUAAGAGACAUGGCAAUGUUCCGGCGAUAAAGGGAGAAAUGCUGUUUUGGCCUUCAUCCAGUGCUGCUUGCUUUGAAGUUUGGCAGAAGAAGUGCUCAUUGUUUGUAUGUUCAUGCAAAGGGAGAUAACCCUCAUUCAGCUGAUGUGCACAAGGUGAUGUCCCUUGCAGAGGAGAAAAGGAUACCCAUCAAACAUUUGUCAUUGUCGCAGAUUGACAGGUGUACAAAUUACAGACCACAUCAGGGUGUCUGUCUUGAUGUGUCCAGGCUAAAAGCCCUCCCCUACAUCUCACAGGA